Long non-coding RNA from Podarcis raffonei (Aeolian wall lizard), 264 nucleotides. RefSeq lists it as uncharacterized. The transcript is spliced from 2 exons. Lineage: Eukaryota; Metazoa; Chordata; Lepidosauria; Squamata; Lacertidae. The record is from RefSeq and is a predicted model, not a curated record.
GCCUCUUGUCACGUUUCUCUGCCUGGCUGGGACAAAAAGAGCAACCCAGAGCCUUGGAACAAGCUGUGACCCAACGACCAGUACAAGUUCUAUGCGGUGAAUGCAGACUAUGACAAGCUGAAAAAAGGAGCACCCAGAUAUCUGAAGAGCAAAUGAAUCUGGGAGCUAUAGUUUGGGUCUUUGGGUUUGAUGCUUUUGUAACUGGAUCUGUAAUGGCUUUUAGUCAAAUACAAUAAAUGAUUGAUUGAUUGAUUGAUUGAUUGA